UACGUAGGGGGCAAGCGUUGUCCGGAAUCAUUGGGCGUAAAGCGCGCGUAGGCGGCCCGGUAAGUCCGUUGUGAAAGUCAAAGGCUCAACCUUUGAACGCCGAUGGAUACUGCCGGGCUAGAGUCCGGAAGAGGCGAGUGGAAUUCCUGGUGUAGCGGUGGAAUGCGCAGAUAUCAGGAGGAACACCAAUAGCGAAGGCAGCUCGCUGGGACGGUACUGACGCUGAGGCGCGAAAGCGUGGGGAGCGAACCGG
Molecule: ribosomal RNA, 253 nt
Filed under: uncultured bacterium
Lineage: Bacteria
Description: partial 16S ribosomal RNA
Rfam family: Bacterial small subunit ribosomal RNA
Source: RNAcentral